UCACGCGCUUCUUCUUAACAAUAAACAUCAAUUUUAAGUCAUGGAUUCAUUGGCGACGAGAGCUGUCAAAGUUUGCUGUCUGAACCUCGGCAUUUAAUUUUGCUGUCAUUUAUUUCUGCAGUAACAAUGGUGAUGAAUAAAGCUACAUGUAUUCUGUGGUCCAUGAGAUAAUCAUGGUGAACAACAGGAUGGAAUCAAAUCAUGGUUUCUAUGACAGCGGUUGUAGUUCACCAGUACCAGAAACCAGAGAUAAAAACGGAUUUGAAGUUUGGCCAAAUGAGGAGAAUUGGGUACACAUACAAGCUGCUGAGUUGAUACUACAGACUUUAAAACAGUCAUAUGUUGUGGAGGAAUUAAAAGAUGGAUUGCUUCGUUUACAGAAUCUACAAAUAUUUACUCAUACAGAGGUUCAGAAAUAUUUGGAGAAUAAUCAAGUACAUCUAUUGGUUUUAUCUGUAAUGAAACAUUUAUCGGCUUUUGAUGAUAUACAAUUAAUCGGUUUGCAGCUUCUGUGUUCCUUUAUAUCUCACAGUAGAAUAUUAGAAGAUAGUAUUAAAAACUCUGAUACACAUAG
Long non-coding RNA from Patella vulgata (common limpet), 574 nucleotides. RefSeq lists it as uncharacterized. The transcript is spliced from 4 exons. The record is from RefSeq and is a predicted model, not a curated record. NCBI's taxonomy places the organism in Eukaryota, Metazoa, Mollusca, Gastropoda, Patellidae.